GACGAACGCUGGCGGCGUGCUUAACACAUGCAAGUCGAACGGAAAGGCCCUUCGGGGUCCUCGAGUGGCGAACGGGUGAGUAACACGUGGGUGAUCUGCCCUGCACUUUGGGAUAAGCCUGGGAAACUGGGUCUAAUACCGAAUAGGACCACGCGCUUCAUGGUGUGUGGUGGAAAGCUUUUGCGGUGUGGGAUGGGCCCGCGGCCUAUCAGCUUGUUGGUGGGGUAAUGGCCUACCAAGGCGACGACGGGUAGCCGGCCUGAGAGGGUGACCGGCCACACUGGGACUGAGAUACGGCCCAGACUCCUACGGGAGGCAGCAGUGGGGAAUAUUGCACAAUGGGCGCAAGCCUGAUGCAGCGACGCCGCGUGAGGGAUGACGGUCUUCGGGUUGUAAACCUCUUUCAAUAGGGACGAAGCGCAAGUGACGGUACCUAUAGAAGAAGCACCGGCCAACUACGUG
RNAcentral lists this ribosomal RNA (462 nucleotides) under uncultured bacterium. RNAcentral describes it as "partial 16S ribosomal RNA". It matches the Rfam family "Bacterial small subunit ribosomal RNA", at positions 28 to 507 of the family's 1533-position model. The record is from RNAcentral.